GAUGAACGCUGGCGGCGUGCUUAACACAUGCAAGUCGAGCGAACAGAUGUGGUUCUUGCUCCUCUGACGUUAGCGGCGGAUGGGUGAGUCAUACGUGGACAACCCACCUCUAUGACUUAGAUAACGUCGAGAAACCGUAGCACAUACCGGAUGAUACAGUUACCUGCAUGGUGCAGUAGAGAAUGACGGGUUUGCUGUGACCUAUAGACUUAUCCGCGGGGCAGUAGCUUGUUGGCUUGCCAACGGCUUGCCAAGGCGACGAUGGGUAGCCGACGUGAGCAGGUGAAGGGCCACACUGGGACUGAGCCGCGGUCCAGACUCCUACGGGCGGCAGCAGUAGCGAAUCUUGGGCGAUGGGCGGAAGCCUGAAGGAGCGGCGCAGGGUGGGUGAUGAAGGGCUUCGGGUGGUAAGACUGUGUUCGUGGGGAAGAACGAAUGUGUAAGUGACUAUGCACGUCUUGACGGUAGCGGGUCAGGAAGCACCGGCUAACUACGUG
This 497-nucleotide ribosomal RNA is filed under the name uncultured bacterium. RNAcentral describes it as "partial 16S ribosomal RNA". It matches the Rfam family "Bacterial small subunit ribosomal RNA", at positions 28 to 507 of the family's 1533-position model. The record is from RNAcentral.